This 1241-nucleotide ribosomal RNA is filed under the name metagenome. RNAcentral's name for it is "bacterial LSU rRNA". It matches the Rfam family "Bacterial large subunit ribosomal RNA", at positions 1564 to 2817 of the family's 2925-position model. The record is from RNAcentral.
UGAGUACGAGAUGCUACGGCAUCGAAGCAGUCUAUGUCAUACUUCCAAGAAAAGCUUGCACUGUCAUAAACAAAGAAUGCCUGUACCAUAACCGACACAGGUGGGUAGGUAGAGUAUACUAAGGGGCGCGAGAUAACUCUCUCUAAGGAACUCGGCAAAAUGACUCCGUAACUUCGGGAGAAGGAGUGCCUUAUUUCUAAGGUUGCAAUAACAAGAUCCAAGCAACUGUUUACCUAAAACACAGGUCUCCGCUAAGUCGUAAGACGAUGUAUGGGGGCUGACGCCCCUGUGCCAGAAGGUUAAAGAAGUUGGUUAGCAUUAGCGAAGCUGAUAACUGAAGCCCUGGUGAACGGCGGCCGUAACAAUAACGGUCCUAAGGUAGCGAAAUUCCUUGUCGGGUAAGUUCCGACCCGCACGAAAGGCGUAAUGAUUUGGAUACUGUCUCGGAGAGGGGCUCGGUGAAAUAGACUUGUCUGUGAAGAUGCGGACUACCUGCACCUGGACAGAAAGACCCUAUGAAGCUUUACUGUAACUUGAGAUUGAAAUUGGACUUUAUUUGCGCAGUAUAGGUGGGAGGCGUUGAGAAUAAUCUUGCGGGAUUGUUGGAGCCAUCAGUGAGAUACCACUCUUGUAAUGUUAGAUUUCUAACUUUGUAUCAUUAUCUGGUCAAAGAACAGUUUCAGGCGGGCAGUUUGACUGGGGCGGUCGCCUCCCAAAGGGUAACGGAGGCGCACAAAGGUUUCCUCUGAACGGGUAGAAAUCGUAUCUAGAGUGUAAAGGCAUAAGGAAGCUUGACUGUGAGACCUACAAGUCGAGCAGGGACGAAAGUCGGUCUUAGUGAUCUGACGGUGCUGAGUGGAAAGGCCGUCACUCAACGGAUAAAAGUUACUCUAAGGAUAACAGGCUGAUCUCCCCCAAGAGUUCACAUCGACGGGGAGGUUUGGCACCUCGAUGUCGGCUCAUCGCAUCCUGGGGCGGUAGUCCGUCCCAAGGGUUGGGCUGUUCGCCCAUGAAAGCGGUACGCGAGCUGGGUUCAGAACGUCGUGAGACAGUUCGGUCCAUAUCCGGUGUAGGCGUUAGAAUAUUGAGAGGAGCCUUCUCUAGUACGAGAGGACCGAGAAGGACAUACCUCUGGUGUACCAGUUAUCGUGCCAACGGUAAACGCUGGGUAGCUAUGUAUGGAGUGGAUAACCGCUGAAAGCAUCUAAGUGGGAAGCCCACCUCAAGAUAAGUAUUCUCAU